This 86-nucleotide non-coding RNA is filed under the name Chloroflexota bacterium. Its description in RNAcentral is "Chloroflexi bacterium c-di-GMP sequence". It matches the Rfam family "c-di-GMP-II-GAG riboswitch aptamer". Lineage: Bacteria; Bacillati; Chloroflexota. The record is from RNAcentral.
GGGUACGCGGGAGGCUCCGACGCGCGGCCCACACCACCGGCCGCCGGGACCGCGCCGAGCCACUGGCGAGACCGACCUGCGCGGAG